RNAcentral lists this ribosomal RNA (253 nucleotides) under uncultured bacterium. Its description in RNAcentral is "partial 16S ribosomal RNA". It matches the Rfam family "Bacterial small subunit ribosomal RNA", at positions 524 to 776 of the family's 1533-position model. The record is from RNAcentral.
GACGAAGGGGGCUAGCGUUGUUCGGAAUUACUGGGCGUAAAGCGCGUGUAGGCGGUUGUUCAAGUCAGAUGUGAAAGCCCCGGGCUUAACCUGGGAACUGCGUUUGAAACUGGGAGACUUGAGUGUGGCAGAGGGGGGUGGAAUUCCACGUGUAGCAGUGAAAUGCGUAGAUAUGUGGAGGAACACCGAUGGCGAAGGCAGCCCCCUGGGUUAACACUGACGCUCAUGCACGAAAGCGUGGGGAGCAAACAGG